CAGUAGCCGCGGUAAUACAGAGGGUGCGAGCGUUAAUCGGAUUUACUGGGCGUAAAGCGUGCGUAGGCGGCUUCUUAAGUCGGAUGUGAAAUCCCUGAGCUUAACUUAGGAAUUGCAUUCGAUACUGGGAAGCUAGAGUAUGGGAGAGGAUGGUAGAAUUCCAGGUGUAGCGGUGAAAUGCGUAGAGAUCUGGAGGAAUACCGAUGGCGAAGGCAGCCAUCUGGCCUAAUACUGACGCUGAGGUACGAAAGCGUGGGGAGCAAACAGGAUUAGAUACCCGAGUAGUCCCUGUCUCUUAUAC
RNAcentral lists this ribosomal RNA (301 nucleotides) under uncultured bacterium. Its description in RNAcentral is "partial 16S ribosomal RNA". It matches the Rfam family "Bacterial small subunit ribosomal RNA", at positions 509 to 807 of the family's 1533-position model. The record is from RNAcentral.